RNAcentral lists this ribosomal RNA (1852 nucleotides) under Uroleptopsis citrina. RNAcentral's name for it is "eukaryotic LSU rRNA". It matches the Rfam family "Eukaryotic large subunit ribosomal RNA", at positions 23 to 1874 of the family's 3401-position model. Lineage: Eukaryota; Ciliophora; Spirotrichea; Urostylida; Urostylidae. The record is from RNAcentral.
ACCCGCUGGAUUUAAGCAUAUCACUAAGCGGAGGAAAAGAAAUUAACUAAGAUUGCCUUAGUAACGGCGAGUGAAGUGGCAAAAGCCCAAACUGGAAAUCUUCACGCUUCGCGUGACGAAUUGUAAUCUAAAGAGUAGAAGCUCACCGGGUGAUGUCGCAGAAGUGCCUUAGAACGGGCCGCCAGAGAGGGUGACAGCCCCGUAUGUGGUGACAUUGCCUAACGAGCUCUGCUUGAAGAGUCGGGUAGUUUUGAAUUGCUGCCCUAAGUGGGAGAUAGACUUCUUCUAAGGCUAAAUAUAUGUGGGAAACCGAUAGCGAACAAGUACUGUGAAGGAAAGAUGAAAAGAACUUUGAAAAGAGAGUCAAAAGACUUGAAAUCGUUGAGAAGGAAGCGGUAGAAAAUUAUUCUCUGCGGUGGCAAAGUGUUCCACACGAGUAUUGCGGUCGUAUAGUACGUCAAAGGCUUGCGAUCGUACGUGCUUGUUGGAUUGCGGAGCCGACGCAGUGAGGCAAAAUGAGGUGUUAAAUCCACAAAAGCUUCUUGGAUCUGGGACUCUGCGGAGUUCAAUCCUGGUCUGCUGGUGGGCUUAAUGCCUGAGAAUGCUCUGUGCGAUUUUGCCAAAAUGGUUUUUACCGACCCGUCUUGAAACACGGACCAAGGAGUCUAACAUAUAUGCGAGUGUGCUGGUGGAGAAACCAACACGCAUAUUGAAAGUAAGAGAUGCCAAGCGCAAGCAGCAGCAUCAACCGAUGAGGUUCCUCUGGGGCCUAUUCGUGUAAGAGCAUAUCUGUUAGGACCCGAAAGAUGGUGAACUAUGCCUGAGUAGGGUGAAGCCAGGGGAAACUCUGGUGGAGGCUCGUAGCGGUUCUGACGUGCAAAUCGAUCGUCAAACUUGGGUAUAGGGGCGAAAGACUAAUCGAACCAUCUAGUAGCUGGUUCCCUCCGAAGUUUCCCUCAGGAUAGCUGGGACAAUAACGCAGUUUUAUUAGGUAAAGCGAAUGAUUAGAGGUAUCUGGGGUUUUACACCCUGGACCUAUUCUCAAACUUUAAAUUGGUAAGAACCUUUGCCUUUCUUAAUUGAGGUGAGGGGGUCAAUGCGUGUCCCUAGUGGGCCAUUUUUGGUAAGCAGAACUGGCGAUGAGGGUUGCUCCUAACGCUGAGUUAAGGUGCCUAAAUGCAUGCUCAUCAGAUACUACAAAGGGUGUUGGUUCAUUUAGACAGCAGGACGGUGGCCAUGGAAGUUGAAACCCGCUAAGGAGUGUGUAACAACUCACCUGCCGAAUGGACUAGCCCCGAAAAUUGAUGGCGCUAAAGCGUGCUACCGAUACUCGGCCAUUGCAGCGAGAGUGAGGCUGCAAUGUGUAGGAGGGCGUGAACGUUGUUGCGAAGCCUCUGGCGUGAGCCUUGGUUGAACAGCGUUUAGUGCAGAUCUUGGUGGUAGUAGCAAUUAUUCAAAUGAGAACUUUGAAGGCCGAAGUGGAGAAGGUUUCCGUGAGAACAGCAAUUGGUCACGGGUGACUCGAUCCUAAGACAUGGGGCAAUCCCUUGUUAAGUGCACCGUAUGGUGCGUAGUCGAAAGGGAAUGAGGUUAAUAUUCCUCAAGCUGGAUGUGGGUGUUGUAUGGCAACAUAAGUGAGCUCAGAGACGUCAGCAUGAGCCUCUGGAAGAGUUAUCUUUUCUUUUUAACAGGCUAGCGACCUUGAAAUUGGAUUAACCAGAGCUAAGGUGGCAUGCCUGGAAGAGCACCUUGCUUUUUGAGGUGUCAGGUGCGCUCAUGAUGACCCAUGAAAAUCUGAGUGAGAUAAUUUCACACCAGGUCGUACCCACAACCGCAUCAGGUCUCCAAGGUU